Molecule: long non-coding RNA, 1394 nt
Filed under: Homo sapiens (human)
Lineage: Eukaryota; Metazoa; Chordata; Mammalia; Primates; Hominidae
Description: HSALNT0293553
Source: RNAcentral
ACUCGCCACGGUGCUGUGGAAUUCUCUGGUUUUUCACGCAAGGUCAGGCGUCCUGCUGGCGCCCUCUCGCCACCCUGCCCUCCCGUCAGAAGCCCGGCUCCUCGCCGGGGAAGGCCGGAUGCUGGCCCGCCGGGACCUGGGACUUGUGCCACAUGGAGUGUCGGGAGUCUCCAUUGCCGCGAGUUCUACACCACAGGGCCAGGCUGUUUGCUCCCCAUCGGUCGCUGCCCCCAGCACCCUGUUGUUAUUAAGGACUCAUUUGCUUGGAGCGGCAUCAUUACAAGGCACCAGAUACUGCUACACCAUCUCAUCGGCAUGGACCUAUAUGUGGCAGCAAGUCCAUCUCAUCGCUUUUGGUGAAAGUCAGUCCAGUUUGUAAAGAUUCUCAUUGCCUUGGAAAGUGUUCCAGGAAUGGACUUUCUGCAGUAUGAUGACCUGCAAAAGCAGCCCUUCCAUUUACAUUUCAAACUCCAAGUCAGCCGUGUCAAAGUUUGAACCAGAACUGUGGAGGAUAAUGGGUCAGAUGCAAUUAGCAGCCCAGAGAACCACACGUUGCAGUCUGAUUUAUUUUUUUGCCCAUCAGAUUCCAAGAAUCCUAGUGCUUAAAAGCAACUAAACAAUCGCUCUAUUGUACUGAAAUAAAGCCCGGUUAAUUCAGAAAUCAAUUGCACCACCAGGUGGGGCACACUCUGGCCCCAAACAGAUGGGGUUGAAAACUCCCCUCAAAAUGCAGUCUUGUUAAAUUAAAAACUUGAUCCAGGAGUGGAACAAAUAGGGAGCCAUGAAUGGAAUGGAGUCAGGUCCACUCAGGCGGAUUCUUUCUUCUCCCACUCCUUUUCCUUUAAAAAAGAAAAAUUCCCCAUUUCACUUUCAUCAGUGUUAGCAUCUAUGCAGAAACGCAGCCAUCCACCCUUUGCAGUUGAAUGUGUUACUUUAAUUAGUCUGAAAAUUAAAGGGCAACUCCGGGCCAAUGUGAAUGAUUAUGAAAAUACAUGUGCAUCCCAUGCAAUCUUCUCAUUUAAUUAAUAGUCUUGUAAACUAUAUGGCUCACUUUAAGUCAGUCAAGAGGUAUAACAACUCCAUUUUAAAUAUCCACUUAAUACUUAACAGGAUGUGAGGAACACACUAUAGCAUACGGUCCCUUCUCAAGUUUCACUGUCUGAAAUUUUUCAAAGCUGACCCAAGUCAACCUGAAAAAUGUUUAACACCCUGGGCUUGAACACAAGAAACUCUGUGAUGAACAGACAUUCAAUUACAUUUUUUAAAAGUGAGAAGCAUUUUUGUAAAAUAGCGACUCUGGAAACUAAUUGGCAGCCGCAAAACUUGUGAGCAAAGGCCAAAUCUUGUGGGGAACUUUUACUACAGUAACACGACUCAAAGAAAAUGUGAAUAAA